RNAcentral lists this long non-coding RNA (1035 nucleotides) under Betta splendens (Siamese fighting fish). RNAcentral describes it as "lncRNA (ENSBSLG00000016439.1)". The record is from RNAcentral. Lineage: Eukaryota; Metazoa; Chordata; Actinopteri; Anabantiformes; Osphronemidae.
GUUAUGUAGUAAAUAAAGACACUGAUGAGUUUUUCUUAUUUAAAUAUUGUCAAAUACUCUAAUAUAGUCCUAUACUGCCAUAAUAGCUGUGAUGGUGGAAUAGACACUAGGGUUCUGUGGUGCCUACUAUUUGUUGUAGGACAUCUUGUUCCAGCUUGACGUUGGAUCCCCUCCUUAAGUGUGCUGUGUAAAAAAUUCAAAUGAAAAGCUGUGAAAGCAAUGAAAGCUGUUUUUGUCUCCAAAGAACACCCCAACCAGAACCCACAUCUGAAGGAUCACAAUGUGCCCAUAAUUCUACAGCAGACACAUAUACCUCACCGGAGGAAAAGGAAGAUCUGGAAUUGCUUGAGAGAGCACUGGAGAAAGCUCUUCAGGUUGUGGGACAAAGUCAAUGCUCUGCAAAAGAAGCCUGUGCCUGAGAGGAGUCACUUCAUAGAGCGAAUGAGAGCUACGUUCCCGAAGGAUUGGCCAAGCGGAAGUCCAGAUCAGAUCAGGGCUCUGGUCGACAGACUGACUCACCAAGGCCGUGACCUCAUCCAGCACUGCCAGACAAAGAAGCUGCUGGCCAAAUACGCCUCUGAAGGGACCACAGAGCUGGCAGCAGAAAAUGGGAAUGAUAGUGAUCAAGCACUUGAAAGCUUGCAAAAGACAGCAGAAGAAAUCCAGGACUGUGCUCACCAAGUCAAAAAAGAGUGGGAAGCAUGGGAUCGAUGGAAGCCAGAGGGAGGUUGUCUUUUCCCCACUGGGGCAAAUACCAUGUGGGGAGUUGAGGCUAUUGCACCUCUGCCGCCGACUAUAACUUACACAAGCGAGGAAGAGCUCAGGGAGCUGGAGAGUCUGAGGAUGCGAGUGGCACUGCUGCAACAACAGGUUUACCUUGAACAGGCUCUGUCGGACACCCUGUCCCCUCAGCUCUCCUCUUUAUUAGCUGGACCUGGAUGUCCUAAAUCCAGUGUCCUGAGAGAUUUAUACUCCCUGCUUGGUGAAGGGGGCGAACGUUUUCCUUCUACAGUCCUGGACUGCGACACUGAUUGA